UGGCCUCUAAGACUUCUCUCAGCACA
RNAcentral lists this non-coding RNA (26 nucleotides) under Rattus norvegicus (Norway rat). Lineage: Eukaryota; Metazoa; Chordata; Mammalia; Rodentia; Muridae. The record is from RNAcentral.